RNAcentral lists this ribosomal RNA (1473 nucleotides) under uncultured prokaryote. RNAcentral's name for it is "partial 16S ribosomal RNA". It matches the Rfam family "Bacterial small subunit ribosomal RNA". The record is from RNAcentral.
AGAGUUUGAUCAUGGCUCAGAUUGAACGCUGGCGGCAGGCCUUACACAUGCAAGUCGAGCGAGAAAGGUACCUUGGCGCUGACGAGUGGCGGACGGGUGAGUAAUGCUUGGGAAUCUGCCCAGUAGUGGGGGACAACACGGGGAAACUCGUGCUAAUACCGCAUACGUCCUACGGGAGAAAGUGGGGGAUCUUCGGACCUCACGCUAUUGGAUGAGCCCAAGUCGGAUUAGCUUGUUGGUGAGGUAAAGGCUCACCAAGGCGACGAUCCGUAGCUGGUCUGAGAGGACGAUCAGCCACACUGGGACUGAGACACGGCCCAGACUCCUACGGGAGGCAGCAGUGGGGAAUAUUGGACAAUGGGGGCAACCCUGAUCCAGCAAUGCCGCGUGUGUGAAGAAGGCCUGCGGGUUGUAAAGCACUUUCAGUAGAGAAGAAAUGCCUGGGGUUAAUAACUCCGGGUCUUGACGUAACCUACAGAAGAAGCACCGGCUAACUCCGUGCCAGCAGCCGCGGUAAUACGGAGGGUGCGAGCGUUAAUCGGAAUUACUGGGCGUAAAGCGCGCGUAGGCGGCUAGGUCAGUCGGAUGUGAAAGCCCCGGGCUUAACCUGGGAAUUGCAUUCGAAACUGCCUGGCUAGAGUAUGGGAGAGGGAAGUGGAAUUUCCGGUGUAGCGGUGAAAUGCGUAGAUAUCGGAAGGAACACCAGUGGCGAAGGCGACUUCCUGGCCCAAUACUGACGCUCAGGUGCGAAAGCGUGGGUAGCGAACAGGAUUAGAUACCCUGGUAGUCCACGCCGUAAACGAUGAGAACUAGAUGUCGGGAGGAUUGACCUUUCGGUGUCGCAGCUAACGCAUUAAGUUCUCCGCCUGGGGAGUACGCCGGCAACGGUAAAACUCAAAGGAAUUGACGGGGACCCGCACAAGCGGUGGAGCAUGUGGUUUAAUUCGAUGCAACGCGAAGAACCUUACCUGGUCUUGACAUCCUCGGAACUUAGCAGAGAUGCUUUGGUGCCUUCGGGAAUCGAGUGACAGGUGCUGCAUGGCUGUCGUCAGCUCGUGUCGUGAGAUGUUGGGUUAAGUCCCGCAACGAGCGCAACCCUCGCCCUUAGUUGCCAGCAUUCAGUUGGGCACUCUAGGGGAACUGCCGGUGAUAAGCCGGAGGAAGGUGGGGAUGACGUCAAGUCCUCAUGGCCCUUACGGGAUGGGCUACACACGUGCUACAAUGGCGGUGACAGUGGGUUAAUCCCCAAAAACCGUCUCAGUUCGGAUUGUCGCCUGCAACUCGGCGGCAUGAAGUUGGAAUCGCUAGUAAUCGCGUAACAGCAUGACGCGGUGAAUACGUUCCCGGGCCUUGUACACACCGCCCGUCACACCAUGGGAGUUGGGUUUACCCGAAGACGGUGCGCCGACCCGCAAGGGGGGCAGCCGGCCACGGUAAGUUCAGCGACUGGGGUGAAGUCGUAACAAGGUAGCC